GGACUACUAGGGUAUCUAAUCCUGUUUGAUCCCCACACUUUCGAGCCUCAGUGUCAGUUACAGUUUCGUCAGCUGCCUUCGCAAUCGGUGUUCUAUGACAUCUCUAUGUAUUUCACCACUACAUGUCAUAUUCCGCCAACGGCAUCUGUACUCAAGCCCUACAGUAUCAAUGGCAAUUCCACAGUUAAGCUGCGGGAUUUCACCACUGACUUAUAAGGCCACCUACGCUCCCUUUAAACCCAAUGAAUCCGGAUAACGCUCGCAUCCUUCGUCUUACCGCGGCUGCUGGCAC
RNAcentral lists this ribosomal RNA (292 nucleotides) under uncultured bacterium. Its description in RNAcentral is "partial 16S ribosomal RNA". The record is from RNAcentral. RNAcentral also lists the same sequence under 1 other name.